Molecule: ribosomal RNA, 492 nt
Filed under: uncultured bacterium
Lineage: Bacteria
Description: partial 16S ribosomal RNA
Rfam family: Bacterial small subunit ribosomal RNA
Source: RNAcentral
AGUGAACGCUGGCGGUAGGCCUAACACAUGCAAGUCGAACGGCAGCACAGUAAGAGCUUGCUCUUACGGGUGGCGAGUGGCGGACGGGUGAGGAAUACAUCGGAAUCUACUUUUUCGUGGGGGAUAACGUAGGGAAACUUACGCUAAUACCGCAUACGACCUACGGGUGAAAGCAGGGGAUCAUCGGACCUUGCGCGAUUCAAUGAGCCGAUGUCGGAUUAGCUAGUUGGCGGGGUAAAGGCCCACCAAGGCGACGAUCCGUAGCUGGUCUGAGAGGAUGAUCAGCCACACUGGAACUGAGACACGGUCCAGACUCCUACGGGAGGCAGCAGCGGGGAAUAUUGGACAAUGGGCGAAAGCCUGAUCCAGCAAUACCGCGUGGGUGAAGAAGGCCUUCGGAUUGUAAAGCCCUUUUGUUAGGAAAGAAAAGCAGCAGGUUAAUACCCCGCUGUUCUGACGGUACCCAAAGAAUAAGCACCGGCUAACUUCGUG